Molecule: transfer RNA, 69 nt
Filed under: Marmota marmota marmota (Alpine marmot)
Lineage: Eukaryota; Metazoa; Chordata; Mammalia; Rodentia; Sciuridae
Also listed under: 3 other names
Rfam family: tRNA
About the family: Transfer RNA (tRNA) molecules are approximately 80 nucleotides in length. Their secondary structure includes four short double-helical elements and three loops (D, anti-codon, and T loops).
Source: Rfam by way of RNAcentral
GGGCUUGUGGCUCAGCGGUAGAGCGCUUGCCUCACAUGUGCAAGGCCCUGGGUUCGAUCCUCAGCACCA